AGCUGUUUUGGGACUACAGUUCCCAGCAUCCCUGACCACUGGUCCUGUUAGCUAGGGAUGGUGGGAGUCGUAGUCCCAAAACAGCU
RNAcentral lists this microRNA precursor (86 nucleotides) under Podarcis lilfordi (Lilford's wall lizard). The record is from RNAcentral. Lineage: Eukaryota; Metazoa; Chordata; Lepidosauria; Squamata; Lacertidae.